CUUUUUCCCUUUUUUUUCCUCGUUUUUCUCCCCGUUUUUUCUUUUUUGCGGGCUGGCUCUGGGCGCCCGGCAGCGGCGGCCGCGCUGCCCCGCGCUUCCCCGGCUCGCUGGAAGCUGAGGGAUGCGACUCCGCCACCAUGAUGGAAGGACUGAAAAAACGCACCAGGAAGGCGUUCGGGAUACGCAAGAAAGAAAAGGACACCGACUCCACAGGGUCGCCGGACCGCGACGGGCUCAAGAAGAGCAACGGCGCCCCGAACGGCUUUUACGCGGAGAUCGACUGGGACAGAUACAAUUCGCCCGAGCUGGACGAGGAGGGCUACAGCAUCCGGCCGGAGGAACCGGGCUAUAUCCUUUACGGCCCGGCCGCGGGGCGGGCAGCCGUUUGCGG
Molecule: long non-coding RNA, 391 nt
Filed under: Dromaius novaehollandiae (emu)
Lineage: Eukaryota; Metazoa; Chordata; Aves; Casuariiformes; Dromaiidae
Description: lncRNA (ENSDNVG00000000186.1)
Source: RNAcentral